UACGAAGGGGGCUAGCGUUGUUCGGAAUUACUGGGCGUAAAGCGUACGUAGGCGGAUGAAUAAGUCAGGGGUGAAAGCCUGGAGCUCAACUCCAGAACUGCCUUUGAUACUGUUUGUCUUGAGUCCGGGAGAGGUGAGUGGAACUGCUAGUGUAGAGGUGAAAUUCGUAGAUAUUAGCAAGAACACCAGUGGCGAAGGCGGCUCACUGGCCCGGUACUGACGCUGAGGUACGAAAGCGUGGGGAGCAAACAGG
This 253-nucleotide ribosomal RNA is filed under the name uncultured bacterium. RNAcentral describes it as "partial 16S ribosomal RNA". It matches the Rfam family "Bacterial small subunit ribosomal RNA", at positions 524 to 776 of the family's 1533-position model. The record is from RNAcentral.